Equus quagga is the source of this 798-nucleotide long non-coding RNA. RefSeq lists it as uncharacterized. Lineage: Eukaryota; Metazoa; Chordata; Mammalia; Perissodactyla; Equidae. The transcript is spliced from 3 exons. The record is from RefSeq and is a predicted model, not a curated record.
UGAAACGGAUCUUUCACGAUGUAAAUGGACAAGCGAAAAACUGACCUGCCUUCCAGAUCACCCCGUCCCCCCCCUCAGCCCUGGAAUGUGUAUUUAAAACAAAUUCUAAGCAUGUUAAACAGCCCAUCCCUAAUUCCAGAUGACCAAGCAAACCAUGAAAUGAAAGUCACACAGAUUAAACCUGGAACACUGUGGGAGGUCACCUCACAAGAAGUGACCAUCAGGAGGUCUGAAUCACUGAGUGCCUUUUGGGAGGCUGGCUAACACUGACAUUGAGCAAAUAGCUGAAAGAGGCCAUUUGAAGAGUUGAAUUCUGGAAAAGAUUUGAAAACUGGGCAUACCAACCCUGACCAGCUAAUUGCCAAUGAAGAAGAAUGAAUUACUCUGCAAUUAUAUUAAAGGUGAAAGAGGUCCCAGGGAACAAUUCUAACAAAAAAUGGACUGACGUGGGAUAAAAGCUUGAUUAGUGACAGCCAUGACUAUUAAGAUGUUGAGCUUGAGUUCAAAGGAAGGACAAGAGCAACUUUAUGUUUGACAAUCUUUAGACAAGGUCACCACCCUCCACCAAGUGUAUGCCAACUUAUUCAGGUAUGACAUUCCCUUUCAUACAUCCUUUCUUCACCCACCAAAGUUUAAAAAAUGCUAUCAGAUUUGUUUACCAUGACUUGUAGAGGAUUUAUCCUUAAGCUUUUGCAUCCAAGUCAUUAGUUCGGUCAUUGUCAAGUAACAGAUAAAUUGAUGACAGGGCAGCAUAGAUAGACUCAUUCUCCUGGAGUUGUAGGUGGCUAGUCACCUUAU